AGAUUCCAGCCUCAGCAUUCCCAGAGAAGGCCCAGGAUCUCCCUGAGAGGCCCAGUUGGUGUUUGUGGAAUCAUCACUCCUCUGGUGAUCACGCAGUUUGCCUCACUUUCUCCAUGGAGCUCUUUGCUAAAGGACAUUCUCCUCCAGCUGUGAAGGAAAAGCCCAACAAAAGGCAGGGUACUUUGUUCUAACUGAGGAUGUCUACUGACACAGCCAAGCUGUAAAGCAGACCACGGACGGCAGUGCAGCGGGGAGAACAACUCUACAUCUGGUUGGAGGUGGAGUAAUGUCCAGUCUGGGCACAGAGAGAUGGCAGGUGUGCAGCUGCACUCAGCAUGGGAUAGAGCACCACCUGCCAGGCCAGAACAGAAAGAAGGGCGACGGAGACUGGCAGAGAAACAGCAAUUACUGCUCAGUGAGAAGUAAACAGCGUCUGCUUCCAGAGGCUUUACGGACCAGAAAGCCCACAGGAAAUAGCUCCUGCUUCCCAGCCUGGAGGUCCUCAUGCACUAGCCCUCCCUGCUACAAUUUUGAUGGUUUUUCGCAUAUUUACAGAAUUGUGCAACCAUCACCAUGAUCAGUCUUAGAAGAGUUAAUCACCCCUGACCCCAGAAAACUCUGUAUUCAUUAGCAGUCACUCCCUUUCCCCUUUCCACCCCUCUCCAACAUUAGGCAACCACUAAUCUACUCUCUGUCUCCAUAAACUGGUCUAUUUUGGACAUUUCACAUAAGCCUCCCUGGAUCCCAGUUUAAGCAUCCUGGGGUUUGUCUGCCUGCCAGAGCCAUGGUGCCACUGGGGCUACCUGUCCUGUGGGAUGACAAGGCAGGUCCAAACCUUUGCCUGCUCUCCCAUCCAUUCCUUUUGUGUUAGUCCAUGUGUCUCCCGACUGUUCUCUCCAACAACAACACAGACUGACAAAACCUACUGACUUGGAGUCAGGAACAGACUUUGCUAUUUUCUGGCUGUGUGAUCCUGAUGAGUCCCUUGAACCUCCUGGACUUGUUCCUCAGCCUAAAAACCAAGACUAAUAAAUCAAGUCUAUCUCACAGCCUUACGUGGGGAUCAAAAAACAUGGAGCAUGUGAACACACAUUGUACAUCACGAAGCUGUAUGCAAAUAAAUAUCGUGUAACUCCAGCCCUUUUUGAGUUUAUAAAUAAAAGUGAAAACCUCAUAACCCU
Molecule: long non-coding RNA, 1181 nt
Filed under: Homo sapiens (human)
Lineage: Eukaryota; Metazoa; Chordata; Mammalia; Primates; Hominidae
Description: NAV2 antisense RNA 4
Source: RNAcentral